Molecule: long non-coding RNA, 1460 nt
Organism: Quercus robur (English oak)
Lineage: Eukaryota; Viridiplantae; Streptophyta; Magnoliopsida; Fagales; Fagaceae
Exons: 2
Source: RefSeq, a predicted model, not a curated record
AGAUUUCAAUUGCUAAUAUGUUUCCUCUUUGUUCUUUUUUGUUUUUCCCAGGGAAACACCAUAGAAGAUCAAAUUCUACCUAUGCUUUGUCUCUUUGUGUUUUGAGGUUUUAAUUUAAUUUAGGAUUUCCUCCCUAACCUGUUCUCUUUAUUUAUUUGUUAGUAGGAGUGAAAUUGUGGUUUUUGGGUCCAGUUUAGCACUUUGGCUUACUAAUUUGUGUUUUUUUAAUUCAAAACUUCUGAAUAAGGUUUUAAAUAUAUUUUGGGUUCUAUUUGUUGUUAUCCAUAUAAUUGUAGACAAGCUAUGAGUCUUCCAUGUUUGAAAGACUUAAUCUUCAUCAAAAUAUAUGAACACUAACAAAAAUAUUUUUAAUUUUGCAUUUCGUAGGAUUUAGUUUUCUGUAUUUUGGUUGGUUGGUUUUGAUUUAAUUUAUUGGGUAUCAAACCUGUGAAGAAUUUUGGAGAGCAAGCUUGAUCAGCUUUGUGGAGGCUCUUUGUGUUCUAAACCUGCUUGUAUGUUAGUAAGAGCAAAGUAGAUGGUGAGGUCUUGGGUUCAAGAUCCAGCCAAUGUAUGUGUAUCUUACUUAUAAAAAAAAUGUAGGUUAGCUCAGUCUUUAGGCUUAUCAUAGCAAUUUCUGUUGUAAUUUUGUACAAUAUCAGCUCUGUUCCAUUUCAAUUCCUUUUAUACAUUGUAUAGUUUCUUCUUAUAGUGUUAUAGUUUUUUCAAUGAUAUGAUUGUGAUUUAAAAUGGUAUGGAGAGCUGCAAAGAUAUGUUUGAUCUAAAUUCCAAAAGGAGCAGCUAUGCUAAUUGUUACUCCCUAUAAGAUGCAUUUAGAUUUUAUUUAUUCUGCCACUUCCUUUAUUGUUAUAUCACUGAAUUAUCCUCUAGACUUAUUAUAUUUGUAAAUGCUCUUGAUGAAUUUUUUUCAUAUUAGGGAAGUUAUUAAUUAUCUCUAAUUUGUUUUAAUUGGAACUCUUACAAUACAAAUAUGUAAGUACAUAUAUGUAAUUGCAGGUACAAAGCUACAGCCAUGCUUAGCAUGCCAUCAACCUCAUUGAAAUUUAUGUUGCAUAAAGGAUAUAAGAAAGUUGUGUUGUUUUCACCUUGCAAUGGCAAAGACAAGAUUUAGCAAAAUAAGUAUAGCCUCCAAAGUUUUAUUCAGCAUAAAUAUAAUCAGGAUGAGAUUUUGAUUGGUUUCUCAUGUCAGGUAGUUUCUUUUACCCAAAUUUGUGUUGUGGACUUUUAUUAUUGCCCAUAAUCCAUCCUAUGAUCCUUGCUUGACACUUGAGGUUAGAAGAAAAGGAGAGAGCCCCCCUUUUUAAAAUUUUUUAUUUAUUCCGUAGCUAUUUUCAACCAGACAAGACUUGGUUUUUGGGCAUUAAUUGUAAGGCCAUGAAAGUUCUUAAAUUGAAGGAUUUACAUUGGCAACUGCUUAUUCUUAACUUAAAUUUGUUAAGAUU